AUUGAACGCUGGCGGCAUGCUUUACACAUGCAAGUCGAACGGUAACAGGGUGCUUGCACCGCUGACGAGUGGCGAACGGGUGAGUAAUGCGUCGGAACGUGCCGAGUAGUGGGGGAUAACGCAGCGAAAGUUGUGCUAAUACCGCAUACGUACUGAGGUAGAAAGUGGGGGACCUUCGGGCCUCACGCUAUUCGAGCGGCCGACGCCUGAUUAGCUAGUAGGUGAGGUAAAGGCUCACCUAGGCGACGAUCAGUAGCGGGUCUGAGAGGAUGAUCCGCCACACUGGGACUGAGACACGGCCCAGACUCCUACGGGAGGCAGCAGUGGGGAAUUUUGGACAAUGGGCGAAAGCCUGAUCCAGCCAUGCCGCGUGUCUGAAGAAGGCCUUCGGGUUGUAAAGGACUUUUGUCAGGGAGGAAAUCCCUAGUGCUAAUAACACUGGGGGAUGACAGUACCUGAAGAAUAAGCACCGGCUAACUACGCGCCAGCAGCCGCCGCAG
This 500-nucleotide ribosomal RNA is filed under the name uncultured bacterium. Its description in RNAcentral is "partial 16S ribosomal RNA". It matches the Rfam family "Bacterial small subunit ribosomal RNA", at positions 30 to 523 of the family's 1533-position model. The record is from RNAcentral.